This 404-nucleotide ribosomal RNA is filed under the name uncultured microorganism. RNAcentral describes it as "bacterial SSU rRNA". It matches the Rfam family "Archaeal small subunit ribosomal RNA", at positions 330 to 735 of the family's 1478-position model. The record is from RNAcentral.
GCGCAGCAGUCGCGAAACCUUCGCAAUGCGGGAAACCGCGACGAGGGGACUCCCAGUGCCUACGCUCAGCGUAGGCUGUUCCCGAGCCUAGAAAGCUCGGGGAGUAAGGGCUGGGUAAGACGGGUGCCAGCCGCCGCGGUAAUACCCGCAGCCCGAGUGGUGGCCACUAUUAUUGGGCCUAAAAGCGUCCGUAGCCGGCCCGGUAAAUGCCUGGGUAAAUCGUGAGGCCUAACCUCACGAAUUCCGGGUAGACUGCCGGGCUAGGGACCGGAGGAGGGAGAGGGUACUCCAGGGGUAGGGGUGAAAUCCUGUAAUCCCUGGAGGACCACCGGUGGCGAAGGCGCUCUCCUAGGACGGGUCCGACGGUGAGGGACGAAAGCCAGGGGAGCGAACCGGAUUAGAUA